GAUGAACGCUGGCGGCGUGCCUAAUACAUGCAAGUCGAGCGAACGGACGAGAAGCUUGCUUCUCUGAUGUUAGCGGCGGACGGGUGAGUAACACGUGGAUAACCUACCUAUAAGACUGGGAUAACUUCGGGAAACCGGAGCUAAUACCGGAUAAUAUUUUGAACCGCAUGGUUCAAAGGUAAAAGACGGUCUUGCUGUCACUUAUAGAUGGAUCCGCGCUGCAUUAGCUAGUUGGUAAGGUAACGGCUUACCAAGGCAACGAUGCAUAGCCGACCUGAGAGGGUGAUCGGCCACACUGGAACUGAGACACGGUCCAGACUCCUACGGGAGGCAGCAGUAGGGAAUCUUACGCAAUGGGCGAAAGCCUGACGGAGCAACGCCGCGUGAGUGAUGAAGGUCUUCGGAUCGUAAAACUCUGUUAUUAGGGAAGAACAUAUGUGUAAGUAACUGUGCACAUCUUGACGGUACCUAAUCAGAAAGCCACGGCUAACUACGUG
RNAcentral lists this ribosomal RNA (497 nucleotides) under uncultured bacterium. Its description in RNAcentral is "partial 16S ribosomal RNA". It matches the Rfam family "Bacterial small subunit ribosomal RNA", at positions 28 to 507 of the family's 1533-position model. The record is from RNAcentral.